Molecule: ribosomal RNA, 256 nt
Filed under: uncultured bacterium
Lineage: Bacteria
Description: partial 16S ribosomal RNA
Rfam family: Bacterial small subunit ribosomal RNA
Source: RNAcentral
UACGAAGGGGGCUAGCGUUGCUCGGAAUCACUGGGCGUAAAGGGUGCGUAGGCGGGUCUUUAAGUCAGGGGUGAAAUCCUGGAGCUCAACUCCAGAACUGCCUUUGAUACUGAAGAUCUUGAGUUCGGGAGAGGUGAGUGGAACUGCGAGUGUAGAGGUGAAAUUCGUAGAUAUCGGGGAGAACACCGGUGGCGAAGGCGGCCCGCUGGCCAGCGACGUGACGCUGAGACGGCGAAAAGCGUGGGGAGCAAACAGG